GACGAACGCUGGCGGCGUGCUUAACACAUGCAAGUCGAACGAUGAAGAAAUGAAUCGAAGCUUCGGCAGAAAUUCAUUUCGGAUUAGUGGCAGACGGGUGAGUAACGCGUGAGCAACCUACCUCUUACAAAGGGAUAGCCUCGGGAAACCGGGAUUAAUACCAUAUAACAUUGUGACGAAGCAUUUCGAUGCAAUCAAAGCUACGGCGGUAAGAGAUGGGCUCGCGUCCCAUUAACCGGAUGGUGAGGUAACGGCUCACCAUAGUGACGAUGGGUAACCGGCCUGAGAGGGUGAACGGUCACACUGGAACUGAGACACGGUCCAGACUCCUACGGGAGGCAGCAGUGGGGAAUAUUGCACAAUGGAGGGAACUCUGAUGCAGCGACGCCGCGUGAGUGAUGAAGGAAUUCGUUUCGUAAAACUCUGUUCUAUGGGAAGAAAAGGACUGUACCAUAGGAGAAAGCUCCGGCUAAAUACGUG
Molecule: ribosomal RNA, 480 nt
Filed under: uncultured bacterium
Lineage: Bacteria
Description: partial 16S ribosomal RNA
Rfam family: Bacterial small subunit ribosomal RNA
Source: RNAcentral